RNAcentral lists this transfer RNA (87 nucleotides) under Thermus antranikianii. RNAcentral describes it as "tRNA-Leu". It matches the Rfam family "tRNA". Rfam says of the family: Transfer RNA (tRNA) molecules are approximately 80 nucleotides in length. Lineage: Bacteria; Thermotogati; Deinococcota; Deinococci; Thermales; Thermaceae. RNAcentral also lists the same sequence under 3 other names. The record is from RNAcentral.
GCGGCCGUGGCGGAAUUGGUAGACGCGCCAGCUUGAGGGGCUGGUGGGGGCAACCCCGUGGAAGUUCGAGUCUUCUCGGCCGCACCA